CUCGUGUAAAGAGAGUGCCACGCUCUCUGCACGUUAAGAAGCCUCGCAACAAGUUAUUGAGGUGUCCUGUUGCAAGGCAACAUUUCUGUCCCUAUCCAAUAUACCCUCUGGCAGUCCAAAUUUUUCCAACCUUUUUUUCCGGAUGUCCUUUAUUUCUAGACCUACAUAUUGUAUUUUUGUUCACUUGUUCUCGUCUUUAAUGUGCAUAAAAU
Molecule: long non-coding RNA, 212 nt
Filed under: Mytilus galloprovincialis (Mediterranean mussel)
Lineage: Eukaryota; Metazoa; Mollusca; Bivalvia; Mytilida; Mytilidae
Source: RNAcentral